AGUCGUAACAAGGUAUCCGUAGGUGAACCUGCGGAUGGAUCAUUUCCACUAUUAAAACAAAAAAAAGAGAAGGGAGAUUUUGUCCAUGUGCGAAUGAAAGUUUGCACUAGAUAAUUUCAAACUCUCUUUUUUUUAAUAUUUAACAAACAUUUUAACGUGAAUUGUUAUUGUACAAAACAUUUUUAUAAACGUAAGUUUGAAGUUUUGAUAACAUUCAAAAUGAAAAACAAACGUUAAACAAAUUAGAAUUGGUUUUUAUUCUAAAACAAAAAGUAACCAAAAACAACUCUUAACAACGGAUGUCUUGGUUCUC
RNAcentral lists this unclassified non-coding RNA (313 nucleotides) under fungal sp. RNAcentral's name for it is "partial internal transcribed spacer region". The stretch from base 1 to 45 matches the Rfam family "Eukaryotic small subunit ribosomal RNA", at positions 1787 to 1831 of the family's 1831-position model. The record is from RNAcentral. Lineage: Eukaryota; Fungi.